AGUUAAUAUUGUGUGCAGAGGUGUAGUUAUUCUCCCUUGAUGGCGUUUUUUAGUCAGAGGACAAAUUUAGAUUGCGAGCCCAUCUUUGGGACCGGGAAAGGUGUGGUUCUCGUGGAAAGCUUUUCCCUGAAGAGGCAGUGAGCCUACGAGCUGGUGAGAGCAGACAGGUGGAAUUACUAACUACACUCCAGGGAAAGCCAUACAUCAGCCCCGCCCACCUCUGGUCCUGUUAUCCGGUACAAUGAGCCUUACUUCAGAAGCCAAACCAGCAACACACAGAAUGAAGACUGCCCUAAAAUUGGCCCAGCGCCUGCAGCUGGUUAAUCCUACCAUAGUUUAUCCUUGUAGUGUGAAUUCAUUCUUAUUUUCAAGCUGAAAGUAUACACGAGAUCUCUCUCUGAAGACCAGUGAGGACAUAAGAAGGUGGCCAUCUGCAAGCUUGGAGGAGAGAUCCCACUGGAAAUCAACUCUGCCAGCACCUUGAUCUUGC
Molecule: long non-coding RNA, 490 nt
Organism: Chinchilla lanigera (long-tailed chinchilla)
Lineage: Eukaryota; Metazoa; Chordata; Mammalia; Rodentia; Chinchillidae
Exons: 3
Source: RefSeq, a predicted model, not a curated record